GAAUCGCUUAUCAUAGACCCGAAACCGGGUGAUCUAUCCAUGUCCAGGUUGAAGCUGCCGUAAGAGGUAGUGGAGGACCGAACACACAUCCGUUGAAAAGGGUGGUGAUGAGGUGUGGAUAGGGGAGAAAUUCCAAUCGAACCCGGAGAUAGCUGGUUCUCCUCGAAAUAGCUUUAGGGCUAGCCUCUGGUUAGUCUGCCGCAGGUAGAGCACUGAAUUUCCUAGGGGGCGUCAAAGCCUACCGAAGAAUAUCAAACUGCGAAUGGCGGACAGAUGAUGCCAGGGAGUCAGACUGCACGAGAUAAGUUGGGUGGUCAAAAGGGAAAGAGCCCAGACCUACAGCUAAGGUCCCAAAGUGUGUGUUAAGUGGAAAAGGAUGUGGGAUUUCGAAGACAACUAGGAUGUUGGCUCAGAAGCAGCCACACAUUAAAAGAGUGCGUAAUAGCUCACUAGUCGAGAGGUCCUGCGCCGAAAAUGUCCGGGGCUAAAACACAACACCGAAGCUUAGGAAUUCUUUUGAAUUGGUAGAGGAGCAUUGAAGACGGAACGAAGCCAUACCGGAAGGAAUGGUGGACUGUCUUGAAGAGAGAAUGCCGGAAUGAGUAGCGAGAUUGAAGUGAGAAUCUUCAAGGCCGAAUAUCUAAGGUUUCCAGGGUAAAGCUGAUCUGCCUGGGUAAGUCGGGGCCUAAGGCAAGGUCGAAAGACGUAGUCGAUGGAUAACAGGUUGAAAUUCCUGUACUGCAUCAAAUCAGAAAUGUGGGGACACAUGAGGGAAGCAUGAGCCGGAAAAGGAAAGUCCGGUACAAGCGCAGCAGAGGACAGAUAGGCAAAACCGUCUGUCAACUCGAGGGCGUGAUGUGGAGCGAACCAAAGUAGCGAAGCAUGUGGAGCUUGUGUCGAGAAAAGCCGCUAUAGUGUUUGAUGUACCCGUACCGUAAACCGACACAGGUGGAUGAGGAGAGAAUCCUAAGGCCGGCGGGAGAAGCAUUGUUAAGGAACUCGGCAAAAUGACCCCGUAACUUCGGGAGAAGGGGUGCUCCAGAGAUGGAGCCGCAGAGAACUGGCCCAAGCAACUGUUUAGCAAAAACACAGGUCUAUGCAAAACCGAAAGGUGAGGUAUAUGCUGACGCCUGCCCGGUGCUGGAAGGUUAAGAGGAGAUGUUAGCCGCAAGGUGAAGCAUUGAAUUUAAGCCCCAGUAAACGGCGGCCGUAACUAUAACGGUCCUAAGGUAGCGAAAUUCCUUGUCGGGUAAGUUCCGACCCGCACGAAAGGCGUAAUGAUUUGGGCACUGUCUCGACAAUGCACCCGGUGAAAUUGAAAUACCAGUGAAGAUGCUGGUUACCUGCGCCAGGACGGAAAGACCCCAUGGAGCUUUACUCUAGCUUGAUACUGGGGUUCGGUAUUGCAUGUACAGGAUAGGUGGGAGACUGAGAAGAUGUGUCGCCAGAUGCAUCAGAGUCGAUGUUGGGAUACCACCCCUGCAGUACUGGGCUUCUAACCUGCAGCCGUGACCCGGCUGGGGGACAAUGUCUGGUGGGGAGUUUGACUGGGGCGGUCGCCUCCGAAAGAGUAUCGGAGGCGCUCAAAGGUUCCCUCAGAAUGGUUGGAAACCAUUCGAAGAGCGCAAAGGCAGAAGGGAGCUUGACUGCGACACCGACGGGUGGAGCAGGUACGAAAGUAGGACUUAGUGAUCCGGUGGUAUGAAAGUGGGAUUGCCAUCGCUCAACGGAUAAAAGCUACCCUGGGGAUAACAGGCUUAUCACUCCCAAGAGUUCACAUCGACGGAGUGGUUUGGCACCUCGAUGUCGGCUCAUCGCAUCCUGGGGCUGUAGUAGGUCCCAAGGGUUGGGCUGUUCGCCCAUUAAAGCGGUACGCGAGCUGGGUUCAGAACGUCGUGAGACAGUUCGGUCCCUAUCCGGCGUGGGCGUAGGAUAUCUGAGAGGAGCUGUCCUUAGUACGAGAGGACCGGGAUGGACUGACCUCUGGUGCACCGGUUGCAUUGCCAAAUGCAUAGCCGGGUAGCCAAGUCGGGACGGGAUAAACGCUGAAGGCAUCUAAGCGUGAAGCCCCCCUCAAGAUGAGAUAUCCCAUA
This 2093-nucleotide ribosomal RNA is filed under the name Eubacterium sp. AF22-9. RNAcentral describes it as "partial 23S ribosomal RNA". It matches the Rfam family "Bacterial large subunit ribosomal RNA", at positions 697 to 2818 of the family's 2925-position model. The record is from RNAcentral. Lineage: Bacteria; Bacillati; Bacillota; Clostridia; Eubacteriales; Eubacteriaceae.